RNAcentral lists this long non-coding RNA (928 nucleotides) under Corvus moneduloides (New Caledonian crow). RNAcentral describes it as "lncRNA (ENSCMUG00000018859.1)". The record is from RNAcentral. Lineage: Eukaryota; Metazoa; Chordata; Aves; Passeriformes; Corvidae.
UUGACAUAAGUCACAGUGCUCUAGUUUUCAUUUAAACUUCAGGUGUGUUUUUCUUCUAUUCCAGAUACUCCAGAGCUGCCCUGUAAUCCCUGAAUCCUACUGAAUUCACACCCUGGUGAUAUAUCAAUGUCAAAGGGAUGCAACUGGUAAUUCUGCCUGGCUGGUAAACUGCCUCGUGUCACCCUGUUUCCAAUGGCUGCUGUCAAGCCGUGCUACUUUUCUUACUUAAAAGCAAAACCUGUUCCUUUGCUCCUCCUUGUGCAAGCCUGCAUAGAGAGCAUGCAGGAAGAUGGGCAGAGGCUGGGAGCGCUUUCAUCCUGCCGGGGCUGCGUGCGUGAACAUCCCGAGCAUCCCGGGGGGAGCCCUCUCGGGGAAGCGCCGCAGAGCCGGCGGCAGUGUGUGGUGCCGAUAAGGAGAUGAAACAAUGGCUGCGACACCGAGAGCCUUCACACAAUUACGUGUUUUCUUCAUUUUAAGGCAAUUUUCUGGGCCCCUCUGUCUGCCCAUUCCCGGUAGAGCUGAUGUCGCUGAUGUGAAUAAAAUCAAUACUGAGCAGAAGGAACCUGAAUGCUACUGCAGAUCUGCUUGCUGGUUUCCAAGAUAUCUUACAAAAUUUCCAAAACAACUUAUGCAAUAUGUGACCUGGAGAGAAGGCACAUCUGCUUCCGUGAAAGAAAAAGGAAGAAAUGGCAAGUUUCCCUGCCUCCCUGCUCCCAGAGAAAAGCUGGAACAUUCAAAACCUAAAGGCAUCAGUAAGAGAAGUUACAUACUGAGCAGAUUUUUAAAAAUCUUACUGUAUCUAAGUAACAUCCUGGGCUUGUUUCACAGCAUGUUGAAUUUUAUUUUUUUGACAUGGAAUGGUUUCUAUUCUGGAAUUGCACUUUGCCAUGGAGAGUGUUGCUACAACAGGAAUGGGAUUCCAGCAUGA